RNAcentral lists this long non-coding RNA (473 nucleotides) under Cricetulus griseus (Chinese hamster). RNAcentral describes it as "lncRNA (ENSCGRG00015032350.1)". Lineage: Eukaryota; Metazoa; Chordata; Mammalia; Rodentia; Cricetidae. The record is from RNAcentral.
GGCAAAUGGAAGCAUCUAUAUGGUGUUUUUUGUAGGAUUUUUAUUGCCUUGAGCCUGUAAUAUGAUGUACCACCAAGAGAGAUGGCUAACGGGGUAUGUGAUGACAGCUGUGUUGGGGAAUUUGGGUGUGUAGUUGAGAAAUAAUACUGCCAGUGAGCAGGAAGUUCCAGGUGAAGAGUUCUCUUCUCUUGUGUCUUCAAGUAAGUUUAAUUUCUGUUUUCAUACAGCUCCCGUUCUCUUGCAGGUUGCCUUGAUAUGGCCAGUUUUCUUCUGUUAUUUUCCUUGAGGAUAUAUAUACUCAGAUCCUCACCAAUGGCCAUAGUUGUGGAAGAGUAGGAAGCCUGUCUGGAGGCACUUUUGCAGCAAGCGCUUUGUAUCCAUGUAGCAGAAAGGACUCAAUGGUAUUGGGACUUUUUAAUCCAAAGAUUGCAUCUCCAAAGGAGACCUUUUCUGUCUCUAGGCAGCGGGUGAGG